CGAACGGGUGAGUAACGCGUGAGGAACCUGCCUCAAAGAGGGGGACAACAGUUGGAAACGACUGCUAAUACCGCAUAAGCCCACAGCUCGGCAUCGAGCAGAGGGAAAAGGAGCAAUCCGCUUUGAGAUGGCCUCGCGUCCGAUUAGCUAGUUGGUGAGGUAACGGCCCACCAAGGCGACGAUCGGUAGCCGGACUGAGAGGUUGAACGGCCACAUUGGGACUGAGACACGGUCCAA
This 237-nucleotide ribosomal RNA is filed under the name uncultured bacterium. Its description in RNAcentral is "partial 16S ribosomal RNA". It matches the Rfam family "Bacterial small subunit ribosomal RNA", at positions 99 to 334 of the family's 1533-position model. The record is from RNAcentral.